This 254-nucleotide ribosomal RNA is filed under the name uncultured bacterium. RNAcentral's name for it is "partial 16S ribosomal RNA". It matches the Rfam family "Bacterial small subunit ribosomal RNA", at positions 524 to 776 of the family's 1533-position model. The record is from RNAcentral.
UACGUAGGGACCGAGCGUUGUCCGGAUUCAUUGGGCGUAAAGAGCUCGUAGGCGGCUGCUCAAGUCGAAUGUGAAAACUCGAGGCUCAACCUCGAGCCUGCAUUCGAUACUGGGCGGCUAGAGUCUGGUAGGGGGAGUCUGGAAUUCCUGGUGUAGCGGUGGAAUGCGCAGAUAUCAGGAGGAACACCGGUGGCGAAGGCGGGAUCCUGGGCCAGUACUGACGCUGAGGAGCGAAAGCGUGGGGAGCAAACAGG